This 23-nucleotide microRNA is filed under the name Macacine gammaherpesvirus 4 (Rhesus lymphocryptovirus). Its description in RNAcentral is "rlcv-miR-rL1-8-5p". Its record names the gene rlcv-miR-rL1-8-5p. The record is from miRBase by way of RNAcentral. Lineage: Duplodnaviria; Heunggongvirae; Peploviricota; Herviviricetes; Herpesvirales; Orthoherpesviridae.
UAAGGUGAAUAUAGCUGCCCAUU